UUAAUGCAGUAGUCCACCCCUGGAGACCAUGCGUCCUCUAGCCAGGCCCGUUAAACUGGAAAGGUUUGUCCGUAAUAUAACUGGGAAGCGCCUUGUGCGCGUAUGUCCUAGUCAUUAUUGUGAUACUCGGUUACUGGACGUUGCAGAAAAACUAUUCAGAAUAUGAUCGAGCACUGGAAGCCUGCACGUUGGAGCAGUGCGACUAGGCCGCGUCGGCCGGGACAAUGUGAUGGGCUGGUGGUAAACUCGGAUUGAUGCAGUGCUUCGUGAGGUGAUUGCACAUCCACACGUGGACGGGCGGAUGAAAGGUCCCCUGAUUUCAUGGCAGGGCUGGACUUGAGUGUGGCUGCACCUCUGCAAUAGCAGCACAGGGUUGGGCUGAGAUGUCUGAGAAAUGGACAUGGAUACUGUAAAUCACAAGGUGACACCGUGGCCUAUAAAUGACAAUGCUUUUGCAAUCCCUGAUAUUUAUUUUUGAACUGGAAAAUAAAACGUCUGUAUGAAUAAAGCAUUAGUGUACAAACUAAAA
Molecule: long non-coding RNA, 529 nt
Organism: Xiphias gladius (swordfish)
Lineage: Eukaryota; Metazoa; Chordata; Actinopteri; Istiophoriformes; Xiphiidae
Exons: 4
Source: RefSeq, a predicted model, not a curated record